CGGCGGACGGGUGAGUAAUGUAUGGGGAUCUGCCUGAUGGCGGGGGAUAACUACUGGAAACGGUAGCUAAUACCGCAUAACGUCGCAAGACCAAAGAGGGGGACCUUCGGGCCUCUUGCCAUCGGAUGAACCCAUAUGGGAUUAGCUAGUAGGUAAGGUAACGGCUUACCUAGGCGACGAUCCCUAGCUGGUCUGAGAGGAUGACCAGCCACACUGGAACUGAGACACGGUCCAG
Molecule: ribosomal RNA, 235 nt
Filed under: uncultured bacterium
Lineage: Bacteria
Description: partial 16S ribosomal RNA
Rfam family: Bacterial small subunit ribosomal RNA
Source: RNAcentral